RNAcentral lists this ribosomal RNA (799 nucleotides) under uncultured Glomus. RNAcentral's name for it is "SSU rRNA". It matches the Rfam family "Eukaryotic small subunit ribosomal RNA", at positions 314 to 1114 of the family's 1831-position model. The record is from RNAcentral. Lineage: Eukaryota; Fungi; Glomeromycota; Glomeromycetes; Glomerales; Glomeraceae.
AUCAACUUUCGAUGGUAGGAUAGAGGCCUACCAUGGUGGUAACGGGUAACGGGGUGUUAGGGCACGACACCGGAGAGGGAGCCUGAGAAACGGCUACCACAUCCAAGGAUGGCAGCAGGCGCGCAAAUUACCCAAUCCCGACACGGGGAGGUAGUGACAAUAAAUAACGAUACGGGGUUCUUUAGGAUCUCGUAAUUGGAAUGAGUACAAUUUAAAUCUCUUAACGAGGAACAAUUGGAGGGCAAGUCUGGUGCCAGCAGCCGCGGUAAUUCUAGCUCCAAUAGCGUAUAUUAAAGUUGUUGCAGUUAAAAAGCUCGUAGUUGAAUUUCGGGGUUAGUAGGUUGGUCAUGCCUCUGGUAUGUACUGAUCUCACUGAUUCCUCCUUCCUUAUGAACCGUAAUGCCAUUAAUUUGGUGUUGCGGGGAAUUUGGACUGUUACUUUGAAAAAAUUAGAGUGUUUAAAGCAGGCUAACGCUUGAAUACAUUAGCAUGGAAUAAUGAAAUAGGGCGUUCGAUCUUAUUUUGUUGGUUUCUAGGAUUGACGUAAUGAUUAAUAGGGAUAGUUGGGGGCAUUAGUAUUCAAUUGUCAGAGGUGAAAUUCUUGGAUUUAUUGAAGACUAACUACUGCGAAAGCAUUUGCCAAGGAUGUUUUCAUUAAUCAAGAACGAAAGUUAGGGGAUCGAAGACGAUCAGAUACCGUCGUAGUCUUAACCAUAAACUAUGCCGACUAGGGAUCGGAUGAUGUUAAUUUUUUAAUGACUCAUUCGGCGCCUUACNGGAAACCAAAGUGUUUGGGUUC